GCGCAGCAGGCGAGAAAACUUCACACUGUGCGAAAGCACGAUGAGGGAAUCCCAAGUGCUUGCACGUAAGUGUAAGCUGUUUCUCUGUCUAAAACGCAGAGAGAGUAAGGGCUGGGUAAGACGGGUGCCAGCCGCCGCGGUAAUACCUGCAGCUCAAGUGGUGACCGUUAUUAUUGGGCCUAAAACGUCCGUAGCCGGUUUAAUAAAUGCCUGGGUAAAUUGUGUAGCUUAACUAUACGAAUUCCGGGUAGACUGUUAAACUUGAGACCGGGAGAAGUUAGAGGUACUCCUGGGGUAGAGGUGAAAAGUUCUGUAAUCCGUAGGGGGACCACCAGUGGCGAAGGCGUCUAACUAGAACGGGUCUGACGGUGAGGGACGAAGCCCUGGGGCGCAAACGGGAUUA
Molecule: ribosomal RNA, 403 nt
Filed under: uncultured microorganism
Description: bacterial SSU rRNA
Rfam family: Archaeal small subunit ribosomal RNA
Source: RNAcentral